RNAcentral lists this ribosomal RNA (253 nucleotides) under uncultured bacterium. RNAcentral describes it as "partial 16S ribosomal RNA". It matches the Rfam family "Bacterial small subunit ribosomal RNA", at positions 524 to 776 of the family's 1533-position model. The record is from RNAcentral.
UACAGAGGGUGCAAGCGUUAAUCGGAUUUACUGGGCGUAAAGCGCGCGUAGGUGGCCAAUUAAGUCAAAUGUGAAAUCCCCGAGCUUAACUUGGGAAUUGCAUUCGAUACUGGUUGGCUAGAGUAUGGGAGAGGAUGGUAGAAUUCCAGGUGUAGCGGUGAAAUGCGUAGAGAUCUGGAGGAAUACCGAUGGCGAAGGCAGCCAUCUGGCAUAAUACUGACACUGAGGUGCGAAAGCAUGGGGAGCAAACAGG